GACGAACGCUGGCGGCGUGCCUAACACAUGCAAGUCGAGCGGGGAGGAGGAAGCUUGCUUCCGAAUCCUAGCGGCGGACGGGUGAGUAACGCGUGAGCAACCUGCCUCUUACAGGGGGAUAACGCAUCGAAAGAUGUGCUAAUACCGCGUAAGACCACAGUACCGCAUGGUACAGGGGUCAAAGGAGCAAUCCGGUAAGAGAUGGGCUCGCGUCCGAUUAGCUAGUUGGUGAGAUAAAAGCCCACCAAGGCGACGAUCGGUAGCCGACCUGAGAGGGUGAUCGGCCACAUUGGAACUGAGAAACGGUCCAGACUCCUACGGGAGGCAGCAGUGGGGAAUAUUGGGCAAUGGGCGAAAGCCUGACCCAGCAACGCCGCGUGAGGGAAGAAGGGUUUCGGCUCGUAAACCUCUGUCCUAUGGGACGAAGAAGUGACGGUACCAUAGGAGGAAGCCCCGGCUAACUACGUG
RNAcentral lists this ribosomal RNA (468 nucleotides) under uncultured bacterium. RNAcentral describes it as "bacterial SSU rRNA". It matches the Rfam family "Bacterial small subunit ribosomal RNA", at positions 28 to 507 of the family's 1533-position model. The record is from RNAcentral.